This 233-nucleotide ribosomal RNA is filed under the name uncultured bacterium. RNAcentral's name for it is "partial 16S ribosomal RNA". It matches the Rfam family "Bacterial small subunit ribosomal RNA", at positions 794 to 1025 of the family's 1533-position model. The record is from RNAcentral.
UCCACGCCGUAAACGAUGUCAACUAGCCGUUGGGUCUAUUUAUAGACUUAGUGGCGGAGCUAACGUAUUAAGUUGACCGCCUGGGGAGUACGGUCGCAAGAUUAAAACUCAAAGGAAUAGACGGGGACCCGCACAAGCGGUGGAGCAUGUGGUUUAAUUCGAUGCAACGCGAAGAACCUUACCUACCCUUGACAUGUAGUGAACUUACCAGAGAUGGUUUGGUGCCUUCGGGA